AGACCCGAAACCCGGUGAUCUAGCCAUGGGCAGGUUGAAGGUUGGGUAACACUAACUGGAGGACCGAACCGACUAAUGUUGAAAAAUUAGCGGAUGACUUGUGGCUGGGGGUGAAAGGCCAAUCAAACCGGGAGAUAGCUGGUUCUCCCCGAAAGCUAUUUAGGUAGCGCCUCGUGAAUUCAUCUCCGGGGGUAGAGCACUGUUUCGGCAAGGGGGUCAUCCCGACUUACCAACCCGAUGCAAACUGCGAAUACCGGAGAAUGUUAUCACGGGAGACACACGGCGGGUGCUAACGUCCGUCGUGAAGAGGGAAACAACCCAGACCGCCAGCUAAGGUCCCAAAGUCAUGGUUAAGUGGGAAACGAUGUGGGAAGGCCCAGACAGCCAGGAUGUUGGCUUAGAAGCAGCCAUCAUUUAAAGAAAGCGUAAUAGCUCACUGGUCGAGUCGGCCUGCGCGGAAGAUGUAACGGGGCUAAACCAUGCACCGAAGCUGCGGCAGCGACACUGUGUGUUGUUGGGUAGGGGAGCGUUCUGUAAGCCUGUGAAGGUGUGCUGUGAGGCAUGCUGGAGGUAUCAGAAGUGCGAAUGCUGACAUAAGUAACGAUAA
RNAcentral lists this ribosomal RNA (607 nucleotides) under Escherichia coli. Its description in RNAcentral is "partial 23S ribosomal RNA". It matches the Rfam family "Bacterial large subunit ribosomal RNA", at positions 711 to 1315 of the family's 2925-position model. Lineage: Bacteria; Pseudomonadati; Pseudomonadota; Gammaproteobacteria; Enterobacterales; Enterobacteriaceae. The record is from RNAcentral.